AAACAGCAGCAAGCCCAAGAGACCCGUUAAACCCAAACCAACCACAGUCCGUGCCUCCCCUAUAUAAAGCCCUCUAUUCACCAGGCAGAUAUUUUUCCUGCCUUCCUCUCUCCUCUCUCUUUCCAUCUCUACAAAACUAUUUUUACAGAUCAUAAGUAUUUGGAAGACAUAGCAUAUAAUCACGACCCAGCAUUUGUGGAAAAGCCGUUGCUUAUUUUCUCAGAUCAUAAGUUUUAAAAGAUACUAAUAUGUGAUCACACUUCCAGCAUUGUGGAAAUUCGGUUGCUUCGUUUUUCAGCACUUGAAUGCUGAAGUUCGACAUUGGUGUGAAAUGGACUUUGUUUAUCCCUGCUAAAGACUAUUGCACAUAAAGCAUAUUGAUGCAACUUUGAGUGGUGUCCAAAUCAAGUUGCUCCCGCCUUGAAUAUUCCACCGAAAAGCUUGCUGCAGCCCACCUUACAGGUGUCCAGAGAUCAGCUCACCAUGGUAGCAUAUAUAGUUGAAUGGACUUGGGAGACUGAUAGCUCGCAAAACCUUUACAAAGUGAAUGGUAUUGUCUUUGAGGCAGGUCUCUGAAGUUUGUUUUGCUCCUUUCACUGUAGUUUCGUGUAUCAAUCAUCGAGGACUUUAGCAACCCAACAUUCACUGCCAUAUUACAUUGCCAGUUUUAUGGGUAUUCUUUAUUACUUACCUUUUAUGGAGGCAAAAGGAACUUCAACAGAUAUGUGAUGAUCCAACAAAUUGGCUGGAACAUCAUUAGUACUAUCACAAGAGCUUUUCCUAAAGUUGUUUUGACAUUACCCUGGAUCAACUUUUUGUGACAAACUUGUGAAGCUACAACCAACCCCAAUCUACUCUACUGUAUGUUGGAGUUUUCCAGAAAAUGGUGUUCUUUAGUUGAACACUGAUGGAAGUUCUGGCCAGCUAGUGGCAAGUCUGGAUUGGGGGGAGUUAUGAGGGACGACAGGGGUAACUUCAUCUUUGCAUUUUCUGCUCCUUCGAGCUGUAGCAGUAGCACUGAAGCAGAAGCAAGGGCUGAUAUCUAUGGAUUGGCCUCUGUCUCCAACAAAAUCUGAGGGACUUCACAUUGGAAACAGAUUCUGAGACUCCUUUUCAGAUGAUAGACAAUAUAACUAUAUACUCGACGACGACAACAACAACAUACCCAAUGUAAUCUGACAAGUGGGGUCCGAGGAGGGUGGUGUGCACGCAGCCUUACCCUUGCCUUGUGAAGGAAAAUGUAGUUCUAUAGCUGAGGAAGACCAGGAACGCUGGAGCACUUUACGCUAUGUCACAAGUCCAAUUCUAGAGGAGAAUAAUCUAGUUUGACUCAAGUUUGUAAAUUUUGUUUUAAAAUUUUCUUAGGGAGGUGAGAAAUUUUGAAUAAAAUUUGUGGGAGAUUGCUAAUUCCUAUAGCCCUAAAACUUGUUCGUGUUGAUUGUAGUUGGUAAACUCGUGGACCCUACGCUGGAACUUCAAUAUAUCCAAACUAGUAUAAAAGUGAUAGACCUUUAACCCAAA
This is a long non-coding RNA of Lycium barbarum (goji berry), 1521 nucleotides long. RefSeq lists it as uncharacterized. The record is from RefSeq and is a predicted model, not a curated record. The transcript is spliced from 9 exons. NCBI's taxonomy places the organism in Eukaryota, Viridiplantae, Streptophyta, Magnoliopsida, Solanales, Solanaceae.